Molecule: ribosomal RNA, 513 nt
Filed under: uncultured bacterium
Lineage: Bacteria
Description: bacterial SSU rRNA
Rfam family: Bacterial small subunit ribosomal RNA
Source: RNAcentral
GAUCCUGGCUUAGAACGAACGCUGGCGGCGCGUCUAAGCAUGCAAGUCGAACGGCAAGAGGUAGCAAUACCUCCUAGAGUGGCGGACUGGUGAGUAACACGUGGGUGACAUACCCUUCAGAUGGGGAUAGCUAUUAGAAAUAGUAGAUAAUACCGAAUACGAGCACAGGGGUUAGAGAUCUGUGAGGAAAGGAGCUAAGGCUCCGCUGAAGGAAUGGCCUGCGGCCCAUUAGCUAGUUGGUGAGGUAAGAGCCCACCAAGGCGAUGAUGGGUAUCCGGCCUUAGAGGGUGAACGGACACAUUGGGACUGAGAUACGGCCCAGACUCCUACGGGAGGCAGCAGCUAAGAAUAUUCCGCAAUGGACGAAAGUCUGACGGAGCGACGCCGCGUGGAUGAAGAAGGCCGGAAGGUUGUAAAAUCCUUUUGAAACUGAAGAAUAAGCGUUGUAGGGAAUGACAGCGUGGUGACAGUAGGUUUUGAAUAAGCAAUGGCUAAUUACGUGCCAGCCGCCGC